CUAUAUAAUAGUUAAAACUUUCAACAACGGAUCUCUUGGUUCUGGCAUCGAUGAAGAACGCAGCGAAAUGCGAUAAGUAAUGUGAAUUGCAGAAUUCAGUGAAUCAUCGAAUCUUUGAACGCACAUUGCGCCCCGUGGUAUUCCGCGGGGCAUGCCUGUUCGAGCGUCAUUAUGACCCAUCACGCCUCGCGUGGUCUUGGGGCCUGCCGCCGGGCAGCCCCUAAACACAGUGGCGGCGCCGCGUGG
RNAcentral lists this ribosomal RNA (246 nucleotides) under Ascocoryne sp. ZML09-3. RNAcentral describes it as "partial 5.8S ribosomal RNA". The stretch from base 16 to 169 matches the Rfam family "5.8S ribosomal RNA". From Rfam's summary of the family: 5.8S ribosomal RNA (5.8S rRNA) is a component of the large subunit of the eukaryotic ribosome. Lineage: Eukaryota; Fungi; Ascomycota; Leotiomycetes; Helotiales; Gelatinodiscaceae. The record is from RNAcentral.